CAGUAAACAUGUACUGUACAUGUUUACUGCUGCCGCUGCUUUGUGUAUAUACCUUGAGGUGGUUUGUGUGGGUGUGAUUAGGUCUAGCGUACUAGAACUGCUGGACCAUGAGAAGAAGCUAACGGUCUUUAUCUUAUUACAGUGGAGGAGGGCACACUCUUUCACAUGGUCCGUGUUGUCAUGGUUACGCUAAUGUGACUAAUAGGACUGAUAUGGUUUUGCAUCUUUUGAGUUCAUUAUUUCAGCAGCUGGUCUUUGAACAGGCUAUGGGAUGAGCGUUUGAAUUGUAAUUACAGCUAUUAUGCAUGAUACAUCCCUCAUUAGAUAAUUAGCGUGUUCCUUACGGCUUUAUUAGAUUAGGUUUUUGUGGGUCCUUUUAUCUGGUUUACAACCAUGACACCUCCUGAUAGACUAUAGUGUGUUCUUCAUCAUGUACUGGUUCGUGAUCCUAAGGAUGAUAUCAACAUUUAUAAGGUCCAAUAAAGCCGGACUGGGUUUCUCAGGAAGCCUUCAGUCACUUGAAUCAGCCAAUCAGAGAGGAAGAGGAGGAGCUGGUCAUAAUAAGAUGCUCAAAAGAUAUCAAGAUGUUGUUGAGAAGGAGAAGAAAAGACAAAGAUUUUGACAUUCACUCACACACACAAGCACAUGAGACACAAUGAUAAUGAUGUCAUUUAUGAGCAUGCAAUUAUCUUAACUAAUUGUAUUAUUAAUAUUUAAUUGGAUUACAUGAUGGUACUCCUCAUUAUAUAAUGAUAACACUGUGUGUACACUCACUCAAUUUCAUUUAAUCA
Molecule: long non-coding RNA, 791 nt
Organism: Amphimedon queenslandica
Lineage: Eukaryota; Metazoa; Porifera; Demospongiae; Haplosclerida; Niphatidae
Exons: 2
Source: RefSeq, a predicted model, not a curated record